This 1391-nucleotide unclassified non-coding RNA is filed under the name Hypocreales sp. KO-groupA 2014. Its description in RNAcentral is "partial contains ITS1, 5.8S rRNA, ITS2 and LSU". The stretch from base 567 to 1391 matches the Rfam family "Eukaryotic large subunit ribosomal RNA", at positions 1 to 857 of the family's 3401-position model. Lineage: Eukaryota; Fungi; Ascomycota; Sordariomycetes; Hypocreales. The record is from RNAcentral.
AUUAGAGGAAGUAAAAGUCGUAACAAGGUCUCCGUUGGUGAACCAGCGGAGGGAUCAUUACCGAGUUUUCCAACUCCCAACCCUUUGUGAACCUAUACCAGUUCGUUGCUUCGGCGGGACCGCCCCGGCGCGCCUUCGGGCGGCCCGGAACCAGGCGCCCGCCGGAGGACCACACAAACUCUAAGAUUUUCUUCAGGCGUCUUCUGAGUGUAUAAAAACAAAUGAAUCAAAACUUUCAACAACGGAUCUCUUGGUUCUGGCAUCGAUGAAGAACGCAGCGAAAUGCGAUACGUAAUGUGAAUUGCAGAAUUCAGUGAAUCAUCGAAUCUUUGAACGCACAUUGCGCCCGCCAGCAUUCUGGCGGGCAUGCCUGUCCGAGCGUCAUUUCAACCCUCAAGCCCCCGCGCUUGGUGUUGGGGGACGGCGCGAGGCCCGGGGCUCCGGCCCCGGCGCUCGCCGCCCCUGAAAUGGAUUGGCGGCCGCGGAGCUGCCUCCCCUGCGUAGUAGCACACUCGCACCGGGAGCGCGACGCGGCCACGCCGUAAAACGCCCAACUUCUUUAGAGUUGACCUCGGAUCAGGUAGGAAUACCCGCUGAACUUAAGCAUAUCAAUAAGCGGAGGAAAAGAAACCAACAGGGAUUGCCCCAGUAACGGCGAGUGAAGCGGCAACAGCUCAAAUUUGAAAUCUGGCCCCCCGGGUCCGAGUUGUAAUUUGCAGAGGAUGCUUUUGGCGACGCGCCUUCCGAGUUCCCUGGAACGGACGCCAUAGAGGGUGAGAGCCCCGUCUGGUUGGACGCCGAGCCUCUGUAAAGCUCCUUCGACGAGUCGAGUAGUUUGGGAAUGCUGCUCUAAAUGGGAGGUAUAUGUCUUCUAAAGCUAAAUACCGGCCAGAGACCGAUAGCGCACAAGUAGAGUGAUCGAAAGAUGAAAAGCACUUUGAAAAGAGGGUUAAAUAGUACGUGAAAUUGUUGAAAGGGAAGCGCUCAUGACCAGACUUGGGCCCGGUGAAUCAUCCAGCGUUCUCGCUGGUGCACUUUGCCGGGCACAGGCCAGCAUCGGUUCGCCGCGGGGGAGAAAGGCGUCGGGAACGUGGCUCCUCCGGGAGUGUUAUAGCCCGUCGCACAAUACCCUGGGGCGGACCGAGGUUCGCGCAUCUGCAAGGAUGCUGGCGUAAUGGUCAUCAGCGACCCGUCUUGAAACACGGACCAAGGAGUCGUCUUCGUAUGCGAGUGUUCGGGUGUCAAACCCCUACGCGUAAUGAAAGUGAACGCAGGUGAGAGCUUCGGCGCAUCAUCGACCGAUCCUGAUGUUCUCGGAUGGAUUUGAGUAAGAGCAUACGGGGCCGGACCCGAAAGAAGGUGAACUAUGCCUGUGUAGGGUGAAGCCAGAG